UACAGAGGGUGCAAGCGUUGAUCGGAAUUAUUGGGCGUAAAGGGCGCGUAGGCGGGCAAAUAAGUCAGAUGUGAAAGCCCUGGGCUUAACCUAGGAACUGCAUUUGAUACUGUAAGUCUAGAGUGGAGUAGAGGGUAGCGGAAUUCUCGGUGUAGCGGUGAAAUGCGUAGAUAUCGGGAAGAACACCAGUGGCGAAGGCGGCUUCCUGGGCUCCAACUGACACUGAGGCGCGAAAGCGUGGGGAGCGAACAGG
This 253-nucleotide ribosomal RNA is filed under the name uncultured bacterium. RNAcentral describes it as "partial 16S ribosomal RNA". It matches the Rfam family "Bacterial small subunit ribosomal RNA", at positions 524 to 776 of the family's 1533-position model. The record is from RNAcentral.